This 5747-nucleotide ribosomal RNA is filed under the name Sphaerospora sparidarum. RNAcentral describes it as "partial 28S ribosomal RNA". The stretch from base 1463 to 5747 matches the Rfam family "Eukaryotic large subunit ribosomal RNA". Lineage: Eukaryota; Metazoa; Cnidaria; Myxozoa; Bivalvulida; Sphaerosporidae. The record is from RNAcentral.
GCUGCUGAGCGUAUAAAAUAUCCAACUUCCAUAUUWUUACMCGAGAGAUAUUUCAUAARAAAAAUGUAUGAGUGUGUCGUGUGUGUCUGUUUUUUUGAAGUUUCUCAAGUAAUGUUGUUCUCGUAUAUAUAUUGACAUCGUUGUGUAAUGUGAAUGACGAAAAAGAUGUGAUUAGUAAUAUGUGUGUGUGAUGUUGUGUGUGUAUAUGUGUGUGUGUUUGAUCCUCAUCUUCAUGUCGUUUGUUUUUAUAUAACUUUGUUUAAAUUUGUCAAGAGUAUCAAUGUGUCUGUAUAUAUUGGUUUGUGUGUGUAUCAUAAUUCAGAUACUGUAUGCUUUGUUUUUGGCACUGAACGCAUAACGGUAUAUCAAAUAUUUUAUUUYUGAGCCAUAUGUAUCAUGUGAUAUAAAAAAUGUGAGUGUAUUUAUUAACAUGCAUUCAUGUAUGGUAGAGAAUGUGAUUGAAAUAAAGUAUUACCGGAUAUGCACGCUAGUUGUAUGUUGAAGAAACAUUUGUGUAUGUUCGAAUAGUAAUAUAUAUAGAGUUCUGUGUAUGAAUCAUCCAUGUAUAUAUAUGUAAUAGAGUCAGUGUGUAUUCUUUUAUAUAAAUAUGCGUGCUUUGAUGUUUAUAUAUGUGAAUGUGUGUGUGUUUUUUUUUGGAACAUUUUGUGUAUGUAUCUUGUGUACUAAAAAAAAAAGUUUCAGCAAAUAUACAAUAAUACUACAUUAUAUUUUUUGUAAUUGUGGUGGCGUUUAUCAUUUUUUUGAAUUGAUAUAUAUAACAAUAUUAACCUCAGCUCAGACAAGAGUACCCGCUGAACUUAAGCAUAUCAGURAGCGGAGGAAAAGAAAACAACAGUGAUUCCCAUAGUAACUGCGAGUGAAGUGGGAAAAGCCCGACGUUGAAUCUUGUUGAGGAAACAUUUAACAAGAGUUGUGACGCAGGGAGCCGCAACUUUAAGCACAUUGCAAACAUCAAAGUUGUCCUGGAAUGGCACGCCAAAGAGGGUGACAGCCCCGUAUAUGAUGUUUGUGCUAAAAAUGUGUGUAGUUGAUAGCGGAUUUCCGUGAGUAGGAUUAUUUGGGAUUGUAAUCCGAAGUUGGUGGUAAACUCCAUCUAAGGCUAAAUAUUCACAGGAAACCGAUAGCGAACAAGUACCGUGAGGGAAAGUUGAAAAGAAUUCUUGAAAAAGAAGGUUAAAAGUGUGUGAAACCGAUGAAAGGGAAGCAUAUGUCAGUGUUUAUGAUUUGUUAUGAAAAGUAUGUUAUGUUGUGUGUAAAAGCAACUACUUAACAGUACAUUUUAUGUGCAGCAACGUGCGUGCUUGAUUCUUAUCGUGUUAUGCGAUAAUGUGUUUCAAGUAUUUGUUGAAUGAGCAUGAUGCUGUUGUGGUAUGAAACGCGAAUGUUAUUGUUCUCGCGCAUAUCAUUCAUGUAAAAUGAUGACAUGCCUUCUUUGUGACAAAUGCGCUGAUACAACCAAGUAUAUGAGCUGCUAUUUUUUUUCGAAAAAAUAGUUCAAAUACCUAAAAAACCAGGGCUUGCGAUAUGAUAAUUUGUAUAAUAUUCUUGUGAUAUUAUGCAAAGGAUUGUAUUAACCUUGUUAUUGAUGUGAUAAAACACAUGCACACCCUGUUGAAAUGGUUUUUUUAUGUUUUUGUGUAGCUUGGUUGCGUAUCAUGUGUAAAUAUCAUGAUAAUAAUGAUAAAUACAUAUUUAUCUUAGGCGUGAUAAUGUGUCUAAUGGUAAAUAAUAACCUGUAACGGAUAUAGUCAUUGGUGCAUGUAUUAUUAUUUCAUAAUAAUGAAAGAUGAUUCAUUCAUACACUUAGGAUGUGAGGUUUGCGAAAACCUAAGGUGUAUGUUUGUAUGAAAUGUGAAAUUGUUUCACAUUCAUCCAUGCAUAGUGUGAACAUAGCUAUAUUGUCAUGUACAGGUACGCAUGUAUCUAUAAUCAGCGUAACACGGUGAUAUAUGACCCGUCUUGAAACACGGACCAAGGAGCUUAACAUGUACGCGAGUCAAAGGGAAUUUUUUCGAAAGAAAAUUCAAAAAUACAAAAACCCUAUGGCGAAAUGAAAGUAAUCAUAAAAGUAUUGUACAAUACAUAUUCUGUGAGAUCCAUAUAUGAUAGCAUGUUAUGUGUACAUUUGUAUGUAUAAUAUGAUAAAAUGUGGCGCAUCACAAGCCGAUUGACCUCUCCAUAAUGGUAUUAUGUGCACACAUUAUUAUUAUGUGAAGUUGAUUGAGUUAGAGCGUACAUGUUAAAACCCGAAAGAUGGUGAGCUAUGCCUGGGUAGAGCGAAGCCGGAGGAAACUACGGUGGAGGCUCGAAGCGAUUCUGACGUGCAAAUCGAUCGUCAAACCUGGGUAUAGGGGCGAAAGACCAAUCGAACCAUCUAGUAGCUGGUUCCCUCCGAAAUAUCCCUCAGGAUCGCCGAGAUUCGUUUCAUGAUAUUUUUAACUAUCAUCAUCAUGCAUGUAACAGUGUGUGACUGUGAAAUGGUUAAUGGUAUAAACAGUUUCACCAGGUAGAGCGAAUGAUUAGAGGCUCUUGGGAUGAUAAAUCCUUUACCUAUUCUCAAACUGCGAACUGGUGAUGUAUUAAUAUAUGGUGAUUUCUUUAAUGUGUUAUUUUCGCAUGUUGUGAAUGAGUGUGAUUUGUGUUAAUGUGUGUUUGAAUGUUCAGUUCAUCAUGUGUGUGUAUAAAGAUAACCAAUUUGUGAAUCACUUUGAUAAUGUAAUGCUCUGUGAUCAUGUUAAUGUUAAUGGAUGCAUUAUGUUAUUUUUGUAAAAAGAAUUUUUAAUGGAAUGUAUGAAUCUCGAGUGGGCCAUUACUGGUAAGCAGUAAUGGCGAUGCGGGAUGAACCGAAAGCUAAGUUAAGGUGCCCAAGUGAAUGCCUAAGGAUACCAUGAAGGGUGUCGAUCGAUCAAGACAACGGGACGGUAGCCAUGGAAGUCGGCAUCCGCUAAGGAGUGUCUUCCAACUCACCCGUCGAAUCGAUCGGUCCCGAAAAUGGAUGGCGCUGAAGCAUUCCACCGAUACUUGGCCAUCAAUGCUCGAAACGACGUUGAUGGGUAGGAGGGUGUAACGGUUGCUGCGAAGGAUACACAACGUGAGUUGGUCUGGAGCAGCCGUUAGUAAUCAUCUUGGUGGUAGUAGCAACUUAUCGAACGAGACCUUCGAGCGCCGAUGUGGAGCCGGGUUCCAUGUGAACAUUAAUUGGACAUGGGUUAGUCGGUCCUAAAUGGUCGCCUAAAGGUGGAUGUAUGUUAGGUAAAGGGAGUACAAAUGCACCAUUCACUUGUGUGUGGUGUGUUUUCUCCAUUGCCAUGAAAGGGAAUCAGGUUGAUAUUCCUGAACCAGUAAUUGGAAAUGAUUUAACAUUUUAUUGUAUGUGUGUUGUGUGAUGUAUUUUACAUUUUACAUCCAUAUAUGAUGGUUAAUCAUGGCGGUAACGCAAACGAUAUCUUGGAGACAACAACAGUGAUCCUAGAAAGAGUUUUCUUUUCUUGUUAACAAAUCGAUACCCUGGAAAAGAGUCAAUCUACGAUAGGGUAUAAGAUUUGGAAGAGCAUCACAUUUGUUGUGUAUGUCUGGUGUAUUAUUGUUGUUCCUUGAAAAUCCAAGUGAGCGUAGUAAACAUGUGUAUGUGUGUUUUUCACGAAACACACAUAUGGGUGUUUACGGCAUUUUCAUUACUGUCCGUACCGAAACCGCAUCAGGUCUCCAAGGUCAUGAGCCUCUGGCGUUGAAACAAUGUGGGUAAGGGAAGUCGGCAAGUUUGAUCCGUAACUUCGGGAAAAGGAUUGGCUCUAAGGGUUGAGCCAAUUGGACCUUGUGGAUAAUUGUACUUUAUAUGUCUGUGAUAGGUAUCAUUCUUAUGUUUGGUAUGUGUUAUGAAUAUAUUGGGUAUGAUUUGUACAUUUAUGAUGGUUUAACACGAAUAUGUGCAUGUUGUUGUGUGGAUAAAUUUAUUUUUGUUCAUAUCAAUACACAGGUAAUAUAUGUUAAAUUUCAAAGUAAAUGACAUAAGGUUUGGUAUAUGUGUGCCUGUUAAAGGGUUGCAUAUAUAUCCUCGCAAUUGGUAUAUUAUUUUGAGCACAUGGGUACCUAUGCAAAUAUGUGCGUGUGUGUGAGGAAUAAUAUGUUUUUAAAUAUAUAACAACCAACUUAGAACUGUCACUAACUCGAGGAAUCCGACUGUUUAUUUAAAACAAAGCAUUGCGAUGGCUGGAAACAGUGUUGACGCAAUGUGAUUUCUGCCCAGUGCUCUGAAUGUCAAAGUGUGGAAACGCAUCCAAGCACGGGUAAACGGCGGGAGUAACUAUGACUCUCUUAAGUUAGCCAAAUGCCUCGUCAUCUAAUUAGUGACGCGCAUGAAUGGAUCAACGAGAUUCCUACUGUCCCUACCUACCAUUCAGCGAAACCACAGCCAAGGGAACGGGCUCGGCUGAGACAGCGGGGAAAGAAGACCCUGUUGAGCUUGACUCUAGUUUGAGUUUGUGAUAAAACACAAGAGGUGUAGAAUAGGUGGGAGAUGCAUAAUAGGGAGUCAUAUGGCAUCUAACCAUGUCAUGUGAUGACCUUGUGUAUCGUCAGUGAAAUACCACCACUUUUGUUGUUUUCUCACUUACUUGGUAGCAUGGGAAAAGUUUAUGUGUUAUACAUCAAUUUUUUAAAAUUGGUAUAAAUUUACCUUGAUACAUUAGUGAUGUUUAUAUAUAUACAUGUGUGUGCAUAUGUUUUGUAUUUCGYUAUGAAGCAUAUGUUUUACAUACAGGGUAUAUGUAAGCAUCACUUGUAUUUAAUGUUAUUUAUGCAAGUAUUUCACAAACUUUAUGUUAUGAAUAAUGUAUAUGGUUAAAAAAAUUCAUUUUUAAUUUUGUGCAUGAUUUACAUAUGUUAUGUCAUGAAUACACAUUUAUGUGUCCCUAUGUGAUUAAUAUGUGUAAAUUUUAAAACAUGUGCUAAUGUACAAACCCACCCACUGUUUUUAAUAUAUAUCAUUCGUGAUUAUAUUAAAAUAAGUAAAAGAAAGCAUUGUUAUGUCAUGUAUUUUUCAUGAACAUAUGUUGUGUGUGCAUGAAAGUGUAUACAUAAUAUGUGUACAUGUGAAAGUAUGUCAUGUAAUGUGUUUUUUUCAUUGCCAAGGACAUACUCAGAUGGGGAGUUUGGCUGGGGCGGCACAUCCUUUAAAUUACAACGAGGAUGUCCUAAGGCAAGCUCACCGUGAACGGGGAUCACGGGUAGAACAUAAGGGUAAAAGCUUGCUUGAUUAUCACUUUCAGUGUAUGAGUGAUAACCGUGAAAGCGUGGCCUCACGAUCCUUUAAUUUUCCUGAGAGUUUCAGGAUAGAGGUGACAGAAAAGUUACCACAGGGAUAACUGGCUUGUGGCAGCCAAGCGUACAUAGCGACGCUGCCGUUUGAUCCUUCGAUGUCGGCUCUUCCUAUCAUUGGGUUGCAGAAGGCCCAAAGUGUUGGAUUGUUCACCCACCAACAGGGAACGUGAGCUGGGUUUAGACCGUCGUGAGACAGGUUAGUUUUACCCUACUGUCUCUGAUAUAACAUCAUAUUUGUAUAAAUAAUAAAAAUUUUACAACUUUUAUCAAACACACUGCGAUAGUAAUUCUGCAUAGUACGAAAGGAACUGCGGAAUCGGAUGUACGGUUUAGCGUUUGGUUGAUAAGCCAAAGAUGCGAAGCUGUCAUCCGCUUUUGGAUAAUAACUGAACGCCUCUAAGUCAGAA